UUUAUCUGUCCAAUACGAUGAACAAUGAACUCUUUUUCACAAUAAUUUGUUUCAAGAAGUUUGUUUUGCUUGUCGUUGCCGCUUUGCCGUCUGUUUCCUCCGCAGAGGCUUACAUGACAUUUUUAGUGAGCUCGCAGGGCUUCCCAUCACUCUCCGCGCGCUCGCUUUACUCUGUCUGGAAACGUCAUGUACGUUAUCCCCGAGCCGACGGCGCGAAGCGCCGUGCGAGGGUACUAAUCCCCCCCGGCUAUUUACACCCGGAGAAACGAAAGCAUUAGCGAAGUCUAAAGUUCAUCAAAUAUCGCGGGC
Molecule: non-coding RNA, 309 nt
Organism: Paramuricea clavata
Lineage: Eukaryota; Metazoa; Cnidaria; Anthozoa; Malacalcyonacea; Plexauridae
Source: the annotation of a GenBank genome assembly